This 125-nucleotide small RNA is filed under the name Marmota monax (woodchuck). The record is from RNAcentral. Lineage: Eukaryota; Metazoa; Chordata; Mammalia; Rodentia; Sciuridae.
GCAGGGUGUAGUGAUGCACUCCUGUAAUCCCAGCCGCGUGGGGGGCUGAGACAGGAGAAUCUCAAGUUCAAAGCCAGCUUCAGCAACUGCAAGGUGCUAAGCAACUCAGUGAGACCCUGUCUCUA